Molecule: long non-coding RNA, 399 nt
Filed under: Anser brachyrhynchus (Pink-footed goose)
Lineage: Eukaryota; Metazoa; Chordata; Aves; Anseriformes; Anatidae
Description: lncRNA (ENSABRG00000008527.1)
Source: RNAcentral
CAGGUCUCUAACUAAAAUUAGUAAUGUCCUGAAAAAUUUGGAAAAUGUUUUCAUCUAGACCAACACUUUCAUUGUUUUCAGAAGUUUGUGUCUAUAUUUAUUACAUUCACAGAUGGAGGCUUCUUCCCCCAUCUUAUUUAGCAACUGCAUCAAAGCAGAUCAGUACACAGGAAAUGAAGAAUUGGUAUAUUGUCCAAGAUGAUUAUUGUAUUGUUCCUCCUGAUGGAACUGACUGACAAAUUAUUCUGCAUCCAGCUGAUGAAAGAACAGUAUAGAUAUGCUUAGCAUGACAUUGGAGAAAAAAAAAAAAAAAGAAAAAAAAAAGAGGUCUCCUUCCCUCUGGCAACAGUAUAUUACAACAAUAAUAAAACAGAAACUAUAUGCUUUUGCUUUAUUGCA